UAAAAUAAUGAUGGCAUACUCAUUGAGCUUGGUCGUUUGCGGUUUAAGCUGUCUGUAAAUCGACUGCUCUAUGAGAUAGCCUCCCAUCAACCUCUGUGCACUGUAAUUGUAUCGGGUCUAAGUAAAGCUGUGAUCUCUUGAGGUCAUAGUGAAGCGUAGGCCCAAAAACGGUUUCGACCGUAUAAACAACUUUUAAUUUUGACUGACUUUUGUUUCUAACGAAUCAAAAA
RNAcentral lists this unclassified non-coding RNA (230 nucleotides) under uncultured Rhizophydium. Its description in RNAcentral is "sequence contains ITS1". Lineage: Eukaryota; Fungi; Chytridiomycota; Chytridiomycetes; Rhizophydiales; Rhizophydiaceae. The record is from RNAcentral.